Long non-coding RNA from Eleginops maclovinus (Patagonian blennie), 320 nucleotides. RefSeq lists it as uncharacterized. The record is from RefSeq and is a predicted model, not a curated record. Lineage: Eukaryota; Metazoa; Chordata; Actinopteri; Perciformes; Eleginopidae. The transcript has 3 exons.
CACGUUUUGGAGGCCAGCAAAACAGUUUCCACUCUCCAAGAAAAUGGAGGAAGGGCAGUGUUUUGUGUUCUGUGAGGGCUUUUCUCAUUUAAUGUCUGCAGAUGACCCUAAAAACUUCAUGAAAUGAAUGGAAAUAACAGCAGCUGCACCCAAAGCGGACUGAGGAGGAGUUGGUGAUGCACAAGAAGACCUGCAGACGGCCGGUCAGACAGGGGAGUUUCAGCAACACAGCGUAUCCAUUAAGGGUUUCCACACAUGAACAGACAGAGACGGAAAUAAGAGAGGGAGCGGCCCAAGGACACCCUGAUAACACAGAGUGG